UUUAUGACUCUCGGCAACGGAUAUCUUGGCUCCCGUAUCGAUGAAGAACGUAGCGAAAUGCGAUACUUGAUGUGAAUUGCAGAAUCCCGUGAAUCAUCGAGUUUUUGAACGCAAGUUGCGCCCGAUGUCAUUCGGCAAAGGGCACGCCUGCCUGGGCGUCACGUCUUGCGUCGCUCGGUGCCAACUACUCCU
Molecule: ribosomal RNA, 192 nt
Filed under: Paris thibetica
Lineage: Eukaryota; Viridiplantae; Streptophyta; Magnoliopsida; Liliales; Melanthiaceae
Description: 5.8S ribosomal RNA
Rfam family: 5.8S ribosomal RNA (bases 6-161)
About the family: 5.8S ribosomal RNA (5.8S rRNA) is a component of the large subunit of the eukaryotic ribosome. It is transcribed by RNA polymerase I as part of the 45S precursor that also contains 18S and 28S rRNA.
Source: RNAcentral